AGAGACAGCAGCCGCCGCGGGAAUACGUAGGUGGCAAGCGUUGUCCGGAAUUAUUGGGCGUAAAGGGCUCGCAGGCGGUUUCUUAAGUCUGAUGUGAAAGCCCCCGGCUCAACCGGGGAGGGUCAUUGGAAACUGGGAAACUUGAGUGCAGAAGAGGAGAGUGGCAUUCCACGUGUAGCGGUGAAAUGCGUAGAGAUGUGGAGGAACACCAGUGGCGAAGGCGACUCUCUGGUCUGCAACUGACGCUGAGGAGCGAAAGCGUGGGGAGCAAACAGGAUUAGAUACCCGAGUAGUCCCUGUCUCUUAUAC
This 309-nucleotide ribosomal RNA is filed under the name uncultured bacterium. Its description in RNAcentral is "partial 16S ribosomal RNA". It matches the Rfam family "Bacterial small subunit ribosomal RNA", at positions 504 to 807 of the family's 1533-position model. The record is from RNAcentral.